ACAGUACUCCCUCCGUCCAACAAAGGAUGUCUCAACUUUAACUAAAUUUGAAUACAUCUAUACACUAAAUCACAUCUUACAUCCAAAUUUUAACAAACUUGAGACAUCUUUUGUUGGACGGAGAGAGUACCAC
Non-coding RNA from Brachypodium distachyon (stiff brome), 133 nucleotides. The record is from Rfam. Lineage: Eukaryota; Viridiplantae; Streptophyta; Magnoliopsida; Poales; Poaceae.